GACAGAGGGUGCAAACGUUGUUCGGAAUUACUGGGCGUAAAGCGCGUGUAGGCGGCCAUCUAAGUCGGGCGUGAAAUCCCACGGCUCAACCGUGGAAGUGCACUCGAAACUGGAUGGCUAGAGUCCUGGAGAGGAAGGUGGAAUGCUUGGUGUAGAGGUGAAAUUCGUAGAUAUCAAGCGGAACACCAGUGGCGAAGGCGGCUCACUGGCCCGAUACUGACGCUGAGGCACGAAAGCGUGGGGAGCAAACAGG
RNAcentral lists this ribosomal RNA (253 nucleotides) under uncultured bacterium. RNAcentral's name for it is "partial 16S ribosomal RNA". It matches the Rfam family "Bacterial small subunit ribosomal RNA", at positions 524 to 776 of the family's 1533-position model. The record is from RNAcentral.